RNAcentral lists this small RNA (613 nucleotides) under Paraconiothyrium cyclothyrioides. RNAcentral describes it as "eukaryotic LSU rRNA". It matches the Rfam family "Eukaryotic large subunit ribosomal RNA", at positions 39 to 664 of the family's 3401-position model. The record is from RNAcentral. Lineage: Eukaryota; Fungi; Ascomycota; Dothideomycetes; Pleosporales; Didymosphaeriaceae.
CAUAUCAAUAAGCGGAGGAAAAGAAACCAACAGGGAUUGCCCUAGUAACGGCGAGUGAAGCGGCAACAGCUCAAAUUUGAAAUCUGGCUCUCUUUGGGGGUCCGAGUUGUAAUUUGCAGAGGAUGCUUUGGCAUUGGCGGCGGUCUAAGUUCCUUGGAACAGGACAUCGCAGAGGGUGAGAAUCCCGUACGUGGGCGCCUGCCUUUGCCGUGUAAAGCUCCUUCGACGAGUCGAGUUGUUUGGGAAUGCAGCUCUAAAUGGGAGGUAAAUUUCUUCUAAAGCUAAAUACCGGCCAGAGACCGAUAGCGCACAAGUAGAGUGAUCGAAAGAUGAAAAGUACUUUGGAAAGAGAGUCAAAAAGCACGUGAAAUUGUUGAAAGGGAAGCGCUUGCAGCCAGACUUGCCCGCAGUUGCUCACCUAGGCUUUGGCCUGGGGCACUCUUCUGCGGGCAGGCCAGCAUCAGUUUGGGCGGUCGGACAAAGGCCUCUGUCAAGUAUCUCCCUUCGGGGUGACCUUAUAGGGGAGGCGUAAUGCGACCAGCCCGGACUGAGGUCCGCGCAUCUGCUAGGAUGCUGGCGUAAUGGCUGUAAGCGGCCCGUCUUGAAACACGGG